Molecule: ribosomal RNA, 1400 nt
Filed under: Vibrio vulnificus
Lineage: Bacteria; Pseudomonadati; Pseudomonadota; Gammaproteobacteria; Vibrionales; Vibrionaceae
Description: partial 23S ribosomal RNA
Rfam family: Bacterial large subunit ribosomal RNA
Source: RNAcentral
CGUCGAGCUACUACGGUAGUGAAGUCAUUGAUGCCAUGCUUCCAGGAAAAGCCUCUAAGCUUCAGAUUGUAAGGAAUCGUACCCCAAACCGACACAGGUGGUCGGGUAGAGAAUACCAAGGCGCUUGAGAGAACUCGGGUGAAGGAACUAGGCAAAAUGGUACCGUAACUUCGGGAGAAGGUACGCUCUUGAUGGUGAAGUCCCUUGCGGAUGGAGCUGACGAGAGUCGCAGAUACCAGGUGGCUGCAACUGUUUAUUAAAAACACAGCACUGUGCAAAAUCGUAAGAUGACGUAUACGGUGUGACGCCUGCCCGGUGCCGGAAGGUUAAUUGAUGGGGUUAGCGUAAGCGAAGCUCUUGAUCGAAGCCCCGGUAAACGGCGGCCGUAACUAUAACGGUCCUAAGGUAGCGAAAUUCCUUGUCGGGUAAGUUCCGACCUGCACGAAUGGCGUAAUGAUGGCCACGCUGUCUCCACCCGAGACUCAGUGAAAUUGAAAUCGCUGUGAAGAUGCAGUGUACCCGCGGCUAGACGGAAAGACCCCGUGAACCUUUACUACAGCUUGGCACUGAACAUUGAACCUACAUGUGUAGGAUAGGUGGGAGGCUUUGAAGACGUGACGCCAGUUGCGUUGGAGCCGUCCUUGAAAUACCACCCUUGUAUGUUUGAUGUUCUAACGUUGGCCCCUAAUCGGGGUUGCGGACAGUGCCUGGUGGGUAGUUUGACUGGGGCGGUCUCCUCCCAAAGAGUAACGGAGGAGCACGAAGGUGGGCUAAUCACGGUUGGACAUCGUGAGGUUAGUGCAAUGGCAUAAGCCCGCUUAACUGCGAGAAUGACGGUUCGAGCAGGUGCGAAAGCAGGUCAUAGUGAUCCGGUGGUUCUGAAUGGAAGGGCCAUCGCUCAACGGAUAAAAGGUACUCCGGGGAUAACAGGCUGAUACCGCCCAAGAGUUCAUAUCGACGGCGGUGUUUGGCACCUCGAUGUCGGCUCAUCACAUCCUGGGGCUGAAGUCGGUCCCAAGGGUAUGGCUGUUCGCCAUUUAAAGUGGUACGCGAGCUGGGUUUAGAACGUCGUGAGACAGUUCGGUCCCUAUCUGCCGUGGGCGUUGGAAGAUUGAAGGGGGCUGCUCCUAGUACGAGAGGACCGGAGUGGACGAACCUCUGGUGUUCGGGUUGUGUCGCCAGACGCAUUGCCCGGUAGCUAAGUUCGGAAUCGAUAACCGCUGAAAGCAUCUAAGCGGGAAGCGAGCCCUGAGAUGAGUCUUCCCUGAUACUUUAAGUAUCCUGAAGGGUUGUUCGAGACUAGAACGUUGAUAGGCAGGGUGUGUAAGCGCUGUGAGGCGUUGAGCUAACCUGUACUAAUUGCCCGUGAGGCUUAACCAUACAACACCCAAAGGGUUUUG